UGGCGAACGGGUGAGUAACACGUGAGUAACCUGCCCUUGACUCUGGAAUAAGCGUUGGAAACGACGUCUAAUACCGGAUACGAGCUUCCGCCGCAUGGUGAGGAGUUGGAAAGAAUUUCGGUCAAGGAUGGACUCGCGGCCUAUCAGGUAGUUGGUGAGGUAAUGGCUCACCAAGCCUACGACGGGUAGCCGGCCUGAGAGGGUGACCGGCCACACUGGAACUGAGACACGGUCCAGACUCCUACGGGAGGCAGCAGUGGGGAAUAUUGCACAAUGGGCGCAAGCCUGAUGCAGCAACGCCGCGUGAGGGACGACGGCCUUCGGGUUGUAAACCUCUUUUAGUAGGGAAGAAGCGAUGUGCUUGUCACAUCAUGACGGUACCUGCAGAAAAAGCACCGGCUAACUACGUGCCAGCAGCCGCGGUAAUACGUAGGGUGCAAGCGUUAUCCGGAAUUAUUGGGCGUAAAGAGCUCGUAGGCGGUUUGUCGCGUCUGCUGUGAAAACUGGAGGCUCAACCUCCAGCCUGCAGUGGGUACGGGCAGACUAGAGUGCGGUAGGGGAGAUUGGAAUUCCUGGUGUAGCGGUGGAAUGCGCAGAUAUCAGGAGGAACACCGAUGGCGAAGGCAGAUCUCUGGGCCGUAACUGACGCUGAGGAGCGAAAGCAUGGGGAGCGAACAGGAUUAGAUACCCUGGUAGUCCAUGCCGUAAACGUUGGGAACUAGAUGUAGGGACCAUUCCACGGUUUCUGUGUCGCAGCUAACGCAUUAAGUUCCCCGCCUGGGGAGUACGGCCGCAAGGCUAAAACUCAAAGGAAUUGACGGGGGCCCGCACAAGCGGCGGAGCAUGCGGAUUAAUUCGAUGCAACGCGAAGAACCUUACCAAGACUUGACAUAUACGAGAACGGGCUAGAAAUAGUUCACUCUUUGGACACUCGUAAACAGGUGGUGCAUGGUUGUCGUCAGCUCGUGUCGUGAGAUGUUGGGUUAAGUCCCGCAACGAGCGCAACCCUCGUUCUUUGUUGCCAGCACGUCAUGGUGGGAACUCAAAGGAGACUGCCGGGGUCAACUCGGAGGAAGGUGGGGAUGACGUCAAAUCAUCAUGCCCCUUAUGUCUUGGGCUUCACGCAUGCUACAAUGGCCGAUACAAAGGGCUGCGAUACCGCAAGGUGGAG
This 1171-nucleotide ribosomal RNA is filed under the name Leifsonia sp. DAB_ST80. RNAcentral describes it as "bacterial SSU rRNA". It matches the Rfam family "Bacterial small subunit ribosomal RNA", at positions 96 to 1267 of the family's 1533-position model. Lineage: Bacteria; Bacillati; Actinomycetota; Actinomycetes; Micrococcales; Microbacteriaceae. The record is from RNAcentral.